UGGGGAAUUUUGGACAAUGGGCGCAAGCCUGAUCCAGCAAUGCCGCGUGCAGGAAGAAGGGCCUUCGGGUUGUAAACUGCUUUUGUCAGGGAAGAAAUCUUCUGGGCUAAUACCCCGGGAGGAUGACGGUACCUGAAGAAUAAGCACCGGCUAACUACGUGCCAGCAGCCGCGGUAAUACGUAGGGUGCGAGCGUUAAUCGGAAUUACUGGGCGUAAAGCGUGCGCAGGCGGCUUUGCAAGACAGAUGUGAAAUCCCCGGGCUCAACCUGGGAACUGCAUUUGUGACUGCAAGGCUAGAGUACGGCAGAGGGGGGAUGGAAUUCCGCGUGUAGCAGUGAAAUGCGUNGAUAUGCGGAGGAACACCAAUGGCGAAGGCAAUCCCCUGGGCCUGUACUGACGCUCAUGCACGAAAGCGUGGGGAGCAAACAGGAUUAGAUACCCUGGUAGUCCUCGCCCUAAACGAUGUCAACUGGUUGUUGGACGGCUUUGCUGUUCAGUAACGAAGCUAACGCGUGAAGUUGACCGCCUGGGGAGUACGGCCGCAAGGUUG
RNAcentral lists this ribosomal RNA (551 nucleotides) under uncultured bacterium. RNAcentral's name for it is "partial 16S ribosomal RNA". It matches the Rfam family "Bacterial small subunit ribosomal RNA", at positions 355 to 896 of the family's 1533-position model. The record is from RNAcentral.